Long non-coding RNA from Numida meleagris (helmeted guineafowl), 1035 nucleotides. RefSeq lists it as uncharacterized. The record is from RefSeq and is a predicted model, not a curated record. Lineage: Eukaryota; Metazoa; Chordata; Aves; Galliformes; Numididae. The transcript is spliced from 3 exons.
GCCCACACUCCCCAUCUCCCUGCUUCUUUGCACUACGCAUCUCAUCACACACGCACUGCUCCUCCUCAUACAGGCUCCCUGCCCACCAGCUCCGCUCGCGCUACCGGCCCUGCCCAAACACAGAGGUGGUCGCGCAGCCCAGCGGCACCUCCCCAUCCCAUCAGCGCCUCUGAGGGAUGAGAGUAACAAAGCCCGCUGCCACCCCCUCCUUCCUCACCUCACAUUAAUCCGGAAUGUCCUGACAGCCUCCAUAUGCCUACAGCACCUAAAAAGGAACUCCCAUGUGAGGUGGAGGUUGGACGGAGGAAAGAAAAGGUCCCCAGGUCCCUCAAAACAUUGUUCCUAAUAAGGAAGAUCUCUGAGUGUGCUGCUAAGGAAUUAAGAACCCCAAGCCUUCUAUUGCCAUGCCUGGGCAGUGUUUCACUGUAUCACCUUUCAAAAUGGGCCCUACAAAGAUCCUCCUGCGCUGGCUGAUUCCUCAGAGGGGUGGCAGAAGGCGGUUUUAUUCUAUUUUGCUGCAUUCAUCCAUUUCUCCUUCCAGUCCCAACAACAACAGCAGCACCCACCACACCCGCUGCCACCACCCACAGCAGCCAGCUCACCAGCAAGGACAUCUCCCGGCACAGCCCGCAUCCAGAAACAAGCAACAAGAACACACUGAAUUCCAUCUGUGAAGUUCUCCUCUGGGUUCGAGUGGCUGGCACCUGCCUCCUGCUCCUCACUGCCAUAAGCAUCACCAUCACGCUCUGUCAAACAGGGACCAGUACCAGGAACUGCCGGAAGCCGGAGUGCCUCUGCAAAACAGCAGUGGGGUGAAUAGAGCAGAGUGAGGAAGACGUCUAGCCUUCAUCCAGUGACCACCAGGAGGAACUACAACCCAUGCGCCAUGGAUUGUAUGCAAAGGAAUUCCUGGAGAAUGCAAAUGAAUUCCCAGAGAAUAAUGAAUAUGUGCAUGUAUCCCGGGAAACAUGCUGAAUAUGUAUAAGCUUGGCUUUUAAAUGCGUGGUGUUUUUGCUUACUGGUGUGCAAGCUGGG